Molecule: long non-coding RNA, 376 nt
Filed under: Sinocyclocheilus anshuiensis
Lineage: Eukaryota; Metazoa; Chordata; Actinopteri; Cypriniformes; Cyprinidae
Description: lncRNA (ENSSANG00000006738.1)
Source: RNAcentral
AAGGUAGUUCAGGAAAUUUAAACCGCUUCAGUUUGAACUUUUCUUUUUUUCACUCGUCUCCUUUAAAACUUUCCGUCCAGCCUCUCUCGCUCUCACUUCUGUGUUGACAGUCACUUGAAAGUUUGUCAAACUUCGCAGCGGGUGACCGCAGUGCAACAGGGUGCUGGAAGACAGAUAUCAGUACAGAAGAGGAAAAAGUGCACCGGGACACUGACCUCCCUCCCAAGCCAGACCGGCUCGUUGGUGUGGGGUCUCCGCCGCAGGACAGAAGGGGACAAACUGCCACCUGCCUCCCCUGCAGCUGUGUGUGAGUGAAUGUGGUUUGUCAUCUCCACUGGUUGUCUGGACAAGCAAUCAUCUCCUCUUUGUCAGGUAA